Triticum aestivum (bread wheat) is the source of this 129-nucleotide non-coding RNA. The record is from Rfam. NCBI's taxonomy places the organism in Eukaryota, Viridiplantae, Streptophyta, Magnoliopsida, Poales, Poaceae.
UUUGUACUCCCUCCGUCCCAAAAUUCUUGUCUUAAAUUUGUCUAAAUACGAAUGUAUCUAGUUACAUUUUAGUGUUAGAUACAUCUAAACAAUUGUAAGACAAGAAUUUUGGGACGGAGGGAAUACUAC